This 1603-nucleotide long non-coding RNA is filed under the name Homo sapiens (human). Its description in RNAcentral is "HSALNT0296306". The record is from RNAcentral. Lineage: Eukaryota; Metazoa; Chordata; Mammalia; Primates; Hominidae.
GGAGCCGCAGCAGCCCGUCACCUUGCAACGGAUGGUGUAGGGCUUGCCGAUCUUGUUCCCCUAGUAACCUCUGCGCAUGGGGACAAUGGAGAGCUAGGCCAGGAUGAUGGCCCUGUGGAUGGCAGUGGCCACCUCCUUGGAGCACUUAACACCCAGACCGACGUGACCGUUGUAGCCCGCAAUGGCCACAAACGCCUUGAACCUGGUUCGCUGGCCGGCUCCGGUCUGCUUCUGCACCGGCAUAAUCUUCAAAACCUAGGCCUCGAGAGAGGCCCCCCAGGAAAAAAUCAAUGAUCUCAGAUUCCGUGAUGGGCAGGGAGAAGAGACAGAUCUCCUCCAGGGAAGUGAUCUUCAUGUGCUUGACCAGGCAGCCCAGCUUGCUGACGGGCAUCCACUCCUUAUCCUUGGCCUUGCCUCCGCGAGCUCCGUGGCUUCGGCCCCAGCCUGGUCCACGGCAGUGACCCCGGCCUCGGAUGCCACUGCCGAAACCUCCACGGAAGCCACCAUGGUUCCCCAUCCCAGGGCCCCGGGGCCUCCGGGACUCCCCCCGCAACCCAAUGCCGGCUGCGCCGGCGUCAUCCGCCAUUUGGUGUUUUCUCGGAGAAGAAGCUACAUGUGGAAUAUAUUAACGCAACAAAUUGUGCGUACUUGCUAGACAUUAGGCAUGAUAGCAAGUGCUAGGGUUACAAAGUAUUGCUUUUUGGGGAACCCAUGGUUGUUGGGGAGAAACCAGAAGAUCAGUCAUCACAGUGCGGCAAGAUCAGACUUGUGGUUUGUUCAGGUUCUGGGAGCCGUCACUGCAGUGAGAAUGGGACCCUGGUUGAAGGAACCUGUUGUUCUUAUGGUGGAGGGCAGAAACCCAAGAGGGCUGGAGCCAAUCCAUCCCUGUUUUCUUUAGACGCUGACUCCUGCUGUCUACCAGAUCCUCGUGGUACAAUGACUGGUGUAGACUGGCUUGUUGAAGUCACUCUCUGGAUCUGAGCAACGCUGGCUGAGCCGUGAUGAAGUAUUCCUAUCCAUCCACUAUGCUUCACAGUGGGAAUCUCUCACUGUUCAUCACCGCUGCCCUAGCAGCCGCAGGGAUUCUUCACCCAUGGUUGCUUAGGUUUAUAAGCAAGGAAGCUGAAUGAAGUCCCUUUCCUCUCUGGAUGAGCCCCUGGGUUUCUGGAAGAGUCUUAAAAUCACCCCUAAAUGGCUUCCAAGCACUGAAGCCCGAGAUGUUAGCUGGCCUGUGUGAGGCCUUGAGACAGAAUGCCACAGCCACACCCCAAGGAUGCUGAAGGGGAUUUCCCUCCUCUGUGGUUUUUCUCCUUUCUUCCCGCAGCACUCCUCCUACGUGCUAACAUCUUCUAGUCAAACAACUCUCCUUUUCAAAGGGACCAGGCACAGUUUCUGCUUAUCCCUGAGUAGCAGUGUUCAGUUUCCUGCCAGCCUGUGGAGUUUUUCAAACAAGCCAAUCACCUCCUCCUGUGGGAACUGAGAAGCACCCCACCCUCUCGAUACUACAAAGCCCCUGCUUGUUCCCUAGUGCAACUCCCAUGUGGUCCUGUGGAGCAUAUGGUAUCUUCCUCUUCUGGGCAGUGAGCAUAUGUGACUAAUAAAC